Molecule: ribosomal RNA, 233 nt
Filed under: uncultured bacterium
Lineage: Bacteria
Description: partial 16S ribosomal RNA
Rfam family: Bacterial small subunit ribosomal RNA
Source: RNAcentral
GAUCAUGGCUCAGAUUGAACGCUGGCGGCAGGCCUAACACAUGCGAGUCGAGCGGUAACAGAUCCAGCUUGCUGGAUGCUGACGAGCGGCGGACGGGUGAGUAAUGCAUAGGAAUCUGCCCGAUAGUGGGGGAUAACCUGGGGAAACCCAGGCUAAUACCGCAUACGUCCUACGGGAGAAAGGGGGCUUCGGCUCCCGCUAUCGGAUGAGCCUAUGUCGGAUUAGCUAGUUGG